Molecule: long non-coding RNA, 3569 nt
Filed under: Canis lupus familiaris (dog)
Lineage: Eukaryota; Metazoa; Chordata; Mammalia; Carnivora; Canidae
Description: lncRNA (ENSCAFG00000057113.1)
Source: RNAcentral
UUUUUUGAUGUGUCAGAGACAACUUGUCAAGUUCUAUAAAAAAGAUAUGCUAUUGGGAUUUCAUUUGGAAAGUAAUGAAUUCAUUGUUUGUGUAAAUUAUAAUUUUAUUUUUAGUCCUCCCAACCCCAAACAUUUUAUGUAAUUUCUUUCAUUCAGCUACUCUUUUAUGUUCUUCAGUUAAUUUAAUUGAUCAUAUUAAGCUAUAUUAAGUAUAUCAUUGAUACAAGCAUUCAAAUUAAAUUUUGUUGUUUAUAUGCAGCUUGUAAUUUUUUUAAAGACUUAUUUUUAUUUGAGAGAGAGAGAACACACACACGUGCGUGAGUUGGGAGAGGGGGAGAAGAAGGGAGAGGGAAAGCAGCCUCCUCUUUGAGUGUGGAGACCAACAUGGGGCUCAAUCCCACGAUCCUGAGAUCAGAACCCUGAGAUCAUGACCAAACCAAAACCAUGAGUUGGACACUUAACUGACUGAGCUGCCCAGGCACCCCUGCAGCUUGUCAAUUUUUUCUUGGUUAUAUUCCUACGUAUAUUAGUUUUUGCUGCUGUUGUGUGAAUGACUUCAUUUUUACUUACAUUUUCUAAUUGGACAUUAGUGGGCUAUAUAAUUACUGAAUAGAUAUCUUCUAAAUAUUAUUUAUAGAAACUCUCCUACAGGUCCAUUAACACAGUUAAAAAGAGAUCUGUGCACAAGGCUGUAUAGUUUAACAUAGUAAGGGCAAAUAAUGGGAAGUAGCCUAAAUGUUUAUCAAUAUGGGACUAAUUAAAUUGUAGUGCAUUCACAUAAUGAGAUGCUUUGCAGUCUUAAAAGGAAUGAACUAGAUCUACAUAGUCUGAAUGGAAAGUUCUCUAGGGGUGCCUGGGUGGCUCAGUCAUUAAGGGUCUGACUCUUGAUUUCCGCUCAGGUUAUGAUCUCAGGAUUGUGAGACUGAGCCCUGGGUUGGGCUCUGUGCUGGGUGUGGAGACUGCUUAAGAUUCUCUCUAUCCUGGGACGCCUGGGUGGUUCAGCGGUUGUGCACCUACCUUCCUUUGGCUCAGGGUGUGAUCCUGGAGUCUUGGGAUGGAGUCCCACAUCGGGCUCCCUGCAUGGAGCCUGCUUCUCCCUCUGCCUGUGUCUCUGCCUCUGUGUGUGUGUGUGUGUCUCUCACGAAUAAAUAAAUAAAAUCUUUAAAAAAAAAAAAGAUUCUCUCUAUCCCUUUCCCUGUGCCCCUCCCCCAACUCUCUCUCUCUCUCAAAAAAACAAAGUUCUCUAAGACAUAUUGAAAAUAUGUUGUUAUAUAAAGAAGCAAUGUGUUUUAUAUUUUUGUGUUUUUAUAUGUUUGUAUAUGCUUAAUUUUUUUUUAAGAUUUUAUUUAUUUACUCAUGAGAGAGACAGAGAGGCAGAGACACAGAGGGAGAAGCAGGCUCCUCACAGGAAGCCUGAUGCGGGACUCGAUCCUGGGACCAGGCUCAUGCCCUGAGCCAAAGGCAGACGCUCAACUGCUGAGUCAGCCAGGCAUCCCUGCAUAUUUCUGAAAGGAUACACACUAGUUAAUGGUGAUACUUCCAGAGAAAGAGACUGGGAAAUUGGUGUGUGUCAACAACAGUGAUGUAUUCACACUAUUUUUCUCUUCCAGGGGACAUGGGGAGACUACAUUUCCCAACCUUUCUAGUAGAUGUGAUCUUAUCAAUGAAAAUGUAGGCAAAAGAAUGUGGCACUUAGAGUCCAAGGUAAUUAAGUGUCAAUGUGAAAGCUUUCCACUCCUCCCCACCCUCACCCCCCGGGAUCAAAGAGCUUUGAGAUGAUGGAGAUGCUGGGUAGAAGCAGCUUGGAUCUGAGUCACUGCUGAAUGAAAAUAACAUACCAAUAUGGCCUGCCCCACACUGGGAUGUGAGUGAGAAAUAAACCUUUGUGUGUUAAGCCACUAAGAUUUGAAGGCUUAUUUGGUACCACAUGUAAUGUGGCCAGAGAUUUUUUUGACACUUUUCAUUGAAAGCUAGGAUCUGUGUCCCCUGUCCUUGAAUCUGGGCUGGACUGUGAUUGCUUUGGACAACAGAAUGCAGACCAAGUGAUGCUGUGCUAGUUUCUGAGCUCAAGCCAUAUAAGACUAGCAGCUUACUGCCUAUUGAAAUGCUUGUUUGGGGAUGCUUCCUUUCAGAAUCUAACCAAGUUCUGAGAAACCAAAUGAAAUGGCUAUCUGUAGGCACUCUGGUUUUCAGUUCUAAUCAGUCUUCCAGCCAAUAGCCAGCAUCUCCUGCUAGCCAAACAAGUGAGUCAUAAUUAGCAAUUAAUCCCAUCAAAUCUUCAGAUGAUUCCAUUCCGAGUCGGACUGCAACCACAUGAGCCUUGAAGUGAGAAACACCCAGCUGAACUCAGCCAACACAGAGAAUCAUGAGAGCAGAAUUAUGAGUGCUAUUAAAAAAUAGUUGUAUCAUAGAGAAACAAAAGACCACAGAACAGCCUGUCUCAUCUUAACCAAUAUAAUGGUGUGAGGCAAAAAGUCUCACUCUUGUAGUAUUUAAAUUUUUGGCUAUGUGCAUGUGAUUUCUGUUUCAAUUAGAUACAGCUACAAAUCUAAUUUAAAAAUAUUUUUAAAAAAUAAAAGAAAUAAAAAAAUAAAAAUAUUUUUGAGGGCAGCCCGGGUGGCUCAGUGGUUUAGUGCCACCUUCAGCCCAGGGUGUAAUCCUGGAGACCAAGGAUCGAGUCCCACGUCGGGCUCCUUGCAUGGAGCCUGUUUCUCCCUCUGCCUGUGUCUCUGCCUUUCUCUCUCUCUGUCACUCAUGAAUAAAUAAAUAAAAUCUUAAAAAAAAUUUUUUUGGAUAUAGAUACAAUUUUUAAUUAAUUUAAAAAGUAGGCUCCAGGGAUGCCUGGGUGGCUCAGUGGUUGAGUGUCUUCCUUUGGCUCAGGUCAUGAUCCCGGGGUCUGGGAUCCAGUCCCACAUUGGGCUCCCCAUACAGAGCCUGCUCCUCCCUCUGCCUGUGUCUUGCCUCUCUCUCUCUCUGUGUCUCUCAUGAAUAAAUAAAUAAAAUCUUAAAAAAAAAAUAAAGUAGGCUCCAUGCCCAGCGUGGAGCCCAAUCUGGGGCUUGAACUCACAACCCUGAGAUCAAGAUCUGAGCUGAGAUCAAGAGUCCGACACUUAACUGACUGAGCUACCCAGGCACCCAAUAUAGCUACAAGUUUGAAUUCACAACUUCUAACCAUUGGGCCAUUAAAACUGGUUUUGAAUAGUUUUGAUACCACAGCAACAGUAAUAAAUAUUUACUGAUCACCUCCUAAGUUGGAGUCAGGUCUUAUUCUAGGGCUGAAGAUAGAGCAGGGAUCAAAGCUGACUUGGUCCUGGCUCUCCUGAAUCUACCAGUCAGGUUGGAAAGAUCAAAAAUAACUGAACAAGCACAGAAAAAUGAUCCUCUCUGAGAGUGAUAAGUGUUCUGAAAGGAAGAACAAUUAGAUGAUGUAGACAUUGAUUAGAAUAGAGGCUAUUUCAGAUUGUAUGAACAGGAAAGAUCUUCUGAAAAAAAUAGGGGUUGUGCCAGCCCUUAAAAGAUCUGAAGGAAGAGCACUAGGAAUAGAGAAUAUCUAUGGCAAAGAUGCCAAC